UGCCUUUUAAUUGGAGGCUGGUAUGAAUGGUUUGACGAGGGCUGAGCUGUCUCUUCUGGAAUAUUUAAAAAUUAACUUCUAGGUGAAAAGGCUUAGAUUUAGCUGAGGGACGAGAAGACCCUGUUGAGCUUUAGUGUGGGGUAAAGGUCUGUGUUUCUGCUGUAGUAGAGGAUCAAGAUUUAUCUUUACAUCUUUAGUUGGGGUGACUGGGGAACAUAAGUAGCUUCUCUGUUUUUGUUGAAUUAGAUUUGGUUUGCUGACUGAUGAUCCAGCAUUGGCUGAUUAUCGGAAAAAGUUACCACAGGGAUAACAGCGUAAUCUUUCUGGAGAGUUCACAUUGAAAGAAGGGUUUGCGACCUCGAUGUUGGAUUAAGGUGUCCUGAGGGUGUAGCAGCUUUCGUUGGUUGGUCUGUUCGACCAUUAA
Molecule: ribosomal RNA, 424 nt
Filed under: Haliotis midae (perlemoen abalone)
Lineage: Eukaryota; Metazoa; Mollusca; Gastropoda; Lepetellida; Haliotidae
Description: partial 16S ribosomal RNA
Rfam family: Bacterial large subunit ribosomal RNA
Source: RNAcentral